GAAAUGCGAUAAGUAAUGUGAAUUGCAGAAUUCAGUGAAUCAUCGAAUCUUUGAACGCACAUUGCGCCCGCCAGUAUUCUGGCGGGCAUGCCUGUUCGAGCGUCUUUUCAACCCUCGGGCCCUAGGGAUUCGUCCCCUGCGGCCCGGCGUUGGGGCCCCGCGGCCGCCGCGGUCCCCUAAAUACAGCGGCGGGCUUCCGUGCUGCCUUGGCGUAGUAGAUACUAUCUCGCCUGCGGCGGUGCGUGAGACCCUGCCUCCAAAACCCACCAGAAAAGUUGGACCUCGAAUCAGGUAGGAAUACCCGCUGAACUUAA
This 314-nucleotide unclassified non-coding RNA is filed under the name uncultured Sordariomycetes. RNAcentral's name for it is "sequence contains ITS1". The stretch from base 1 to 105 matches the Rfam family "5.8S ribosomal RNA", at positions 50 to 154 of the family's 154-position model. Lineage: Eukaryota; Fungi; Ascomycota; Sordariomycetes. The record is from RNAcentral.